Molecule: long non-coding RNA, 1044 nt
Organism: Cryptomeria japonica (Japanese cedar)
Lineage: Eukaryota; Viridiplantae; Streptophyta; Pinopsida; Cupressales; Cupressaceae
Exons: 2
Source: RefSeq, a predicted model, not a curated record
AGCCCUUGGUUAGAUUUCUGCACUUGGUAGAUGGAGAUCAAACCCCAAUGGGGUAUAUUUAUGAGGCCAUGGAUAGGGCCAAGGAAUCUAUAAAAAAUUACUACAAGGGGGAUAUACUCAAAUUUGAUCCCAUUUGGGAAAUUAUUGAUAAGAGGUGGGACAAUCAGCUCCACCAACCCAUUCAUGCAGCGGGGUACUUCCUCAACCCCUAUUUUAAGUUCGGGGAUUCUUACUCAGAUCCUUAUGGAGAGGUCAUAGAGGGCCCCAUUACAUGCAUUUAGAGGAUGAUACUCGAGGUUGAGGUGAGAGACCUCGUUGUGGCUGAACUCCAAAAUUAUGAGGAAGCAAGGGAUGCUUGGUGGCAAAGUUGGGGUGGAAAUACCCCAAAUCUCAAAAAAUUUGCCCUCAGAUUCUUAUGUCAACCUUGUAGUUCAUCCAAUUGUGAGCGCAAUUGGAGCUUGUUUGAGGCCAUCCACAUGAAGAAGAGGAGCAAGUUAGCUCAAAAAUGCCUCAAUGACCUUGUCUUUGUGCAAUGUAAUCUUCGGUUGCGCAUAAGGAAGGUAGAGGAAGCAGCAGUUGGUCUAAUUGAUAUGGAUGAUAUAGAUCCUUACAGUGAUUGGACAUCAUAGGAGCAGCCUCCAUUGUUUACGCCAAUGAUUUGGAGAGGCAGGCUAUGGAGGAGGGGUGUGGAUUCGAUUUCACACUAGAUGACAUUGAGGAGGAUGAGGAGUCAUUGCCAGUGCUAGGAGAAGCUAGAGGCAGAGCUACAUCCAGGAUGGAGGAUGAGCCACAGCCUAAGUCAGACAUAUUGAGUGAGGAGGCAUAGUCACGCCCAUUGCAGACUUCUACGACUAGACCCUCUAGUUCUACCUGUCCCUUAGUUUUUACUAGAGUUGGGAAGAGGAAGAUGUAAUUGUAAUGAUGUAUUUACUUUUAGUUUUACAAAAACUAUUUACUUUUUUGCUUCCAGCGAUUAACAUUCCUCAUGAAGAUGCGAUUUUGUACCCACUUUGCAUUUAAAUAUAUCUAGACUCGACUUGUUUC